This 253-nucleotide ribosomal RNA is filed under the name uncultured bacterium. Its description in RNAcentral is "partial 16S ribosomal RNA". It matches the Rfam family "Bacterial small subunit ribosomal RNA", at positions 524 to 776 of the family's 1533-position model. The record is from RNAcentral.
UACGAAGGGGGCGAGCGUUGUUCGGAUUUACUGGGCGUAAAGGGCGCGUAGGCGGUUCGUUAAGUCCUGUGUGAAAUCCCCCGGCUCAACUGGGGAACUGCACAGGAAACUAGCGGGCUUGAGUUCGGGAGAGGGAAGCGGAAUUCCGGGUGUAGCGGUGAAAUGCGUAGAUAUCCGGAGGAACACCGGUGGCGAAGGCGGCUUCCUGGACCGACACUGACGCUGAGGCGCGAAAGCUAGGGGAGCAAACGGG